RNAcentral lists this ribosomal RNA (429 nucleotides) under uncultured bacterium. RNAcentral describes it as "bacterial SSU rRNA". It matches the Rfam family "Bacterial small subunit ribosomal RNA", at positions 71 to 497 of the family's 1533-position model. The record is from RNAcentral.
GCACGGACUUCGGUCUGGUGGCGAGUGGCGAACGGGUGGGUAAUAUAUCGGAACGUAUCCAUAAUGGGGGAUAACUAAUCGAAAGGUUGGCUAAUACCGCAUACGCCCUACGGGGGAAAGCUAGGGAUCUUCGGACCUGGCGUUAAUGGAGCGGCCGAUAUCUGAUUAGCUAGUUGGUGGGGUAAAGGCCCACCAAGGCGACGAUCAGUAGCUAGUCUGAGAGGACGACCAGCCACACUGGAACUGAGACACGGUCCAGACUCCUACGGGAGGCAGCAGUGGGGAAUUUUGGACAAUGGGCGCAAGCCUGAUCCAGCCAUUCCGCGUGAGUGAAGAAGGCCUUCGGGUUGUAAAGCUCUUUCGCAAGGGAAGAAAACUUAUCCUCUAACAUAGGAUGAGGUUGACGGUACCUUGAUAAGAAGCACCGGC